UAAUAAACGCAGCUCGAUCUGAUAUGGAGCUGCGUUUUUUUAAACGCAGCUCCAAAUGUAUUUGAGCUGCGUUCAAUAAAACGCAGCACCACAUGUGGUACUAAUUAAAUUUCAACACUAUUGAAAUUUCCCAAUCCCUAAUCUCAGCUCUCACUAUCUCAGCUCAACCUCCCAAUCCAUUCUCGCCGCCGUGCUCUCAACCCACUACCCACAAACCUCACGCCUCCUCCCUCAUCAAAACCCGAAAAAUUUGCUGACUGAAGAGACCCAAGCUCUUCACAUGGCCAUGAAACCUAAAACCCACAACGGAAAUGGCAACUCCAGCGACAACAACAGCGGCGGAGGAAGACAUAGUGAUUAGUAUGGUGGCUGCUUGAUGUUAACCUCAGCUGUCAUAUUUCUCUCUUUCUUGCUGCGCCUCUCUUUGUUGAGUUAUCUUCGAUGUCGGCGGCUACCUCAUCGUUCGCCUCAGCGGCAGCUAUAUCAGCCCCUUCAUCGCCGAUUGACUUAUUUGGUCGUUAAAAACUCAAAAAACAAACAACCAAAAGGGCAAAGGUUAGUUCAGAGAGAAGAAGAAGAAGAGCACAACUGGCGUCAACCACAGCUUUUCCGUUUUGGAGAGCCACACAAGACCGAAGCACUCACUCGCCUCCAAGUGGGCCGAUGGAAAGCCCAUGUGGACUAUAUUGUUCUAACGAGUGUAGAUCGUAAUGAUCUACCUGACGGUGGAAGUGGGCAUUUUGCUCAAACAGUCAAAACUAUGAAGGUAUGCACAAAGCUUGUCAGUUUUAAGACAUGCAAAAAUCAACAAGGAGGGCAUGAUAACAAAAUCUUCUAUAAUGUUGGGCCUUGGAGAAUCUGAUGAUGAGUUGAAAGAAGCUAUGGCUGAUUUAAGGGCUAUUGAUGUUGAUAUUUUGACUCUUGGACAGUAUUUACAGCCAACUCCACUACACCUGACUGUCAAAGAAUAUGUCACCCCUGAAAAGUUUGCUUUCUGGAAGGAAUACGAGGAGUCCAUUGGAUUUCGUUAUGUAGCCAGUGGGACCACUGGUCCGAUCCUCAUAUAGAGCUGGUGAGCUUUUAGAGAUAAGGCUACCAGCACUGCUGGCACAUCCUAUUGAUUUUUGGCUAUUGUGGACUUUCCAGUGGAUGGCUCAUGGCUGACAAGUUGACCACAAAUUGGUAAAUGAGAGCAGUAUGUAUUGGGGCAAAUGACUGUAAUGGUUGUCCUAAUUUAUUAUAAAGUAUAAAUUUUCUGGAUCUAGUAAAAAAUAUCUUCAUUUCUUUGAGGAUUUUAUGUUUUAUUUUAUUUUCAUUGUUUUGUUUUGCUGGUAAUUGGUUGGGAA
This is a long non-coding RNA of Quercus robur (English oak), 1346 nucleotides long. RefSeq lists it as uncharacterized. The record is from RefSeq and is a predicted model, not a curated record. The transcript is spliced from 5 exons. Lineage: Eukaryota; Viridiplantae; Streptophyta; Magnoliopsida; Fagales; Fagaceae.